AUGCUGACUGGUUCCGGUGCUGGGGUGGUACUGGUGUCCCCCCGAGGAGACAAGCUCAGAUAUGUUCUCCAGAUUCACUUUGAUUCCUCCAACAACGAAGCAGAAUAUGAAGCACUCUUAUAUGGGUUACGUAUGGCCAUCUCACUCGGCGUCCAUCGCCUCAUGGUCUACGGCGACUCAGAUUUGGUAGUCAAUCAAGUGAUGAAGGAGUGGGACAUCGAAAACCCAGCUAUGACUGGUUAUUGCAAUGCGGUGAGGAAAUUGGAAAAGAAGUUUGAGGGGUUAGAGCUCCAUCAUAUACCCCGACUGAAAAAUCAAGCAGCCGAUGAUUUGGCAAAGAUAGGUUCCAAGAGGGAAGCCAUUCCCAGCAAUGUAUUUUUGGAACACAUUCAUACACCUUCAGUUCAAGAAGAUCCUUUCACUGAAGAGCCCCCGCAUCCUAAGAGUGCCACAGAACCGACUGAAGUCGAAGUCCCAGCCGUGGUCGACCUGAUCAUGGAGGUUUUGGUCAUCACUCCCGACUGGACAGUGCCAUACAUUGCGUAUAUCCUUAGGAAGGAACUCCCAGAGGAUGAAGAGGAGGCUAGACAGAUCGUUCAUCGAUCCAAAGCCUUUACUGUGAUAAGAGGACAGUUGUUCAGAGAAAGUGUAACCGGAGUCAGCCAGAAAUGCAUAACACCAGAAGAAGGUCGAGUGAUCCUCAACGACAUCCACUCGGGGACCUGUGGCCACCAUGCGUCCUCUCGGACCAUUGUGGCCAAAGCAUACCGAGCUGGAUUUUAUUGGCCACGAGCAAAUGAAAUGGCGAAAGAUAUAGUCGACAAAUGUGAAGGCUGCCAGUUUUACUCCAAUAUGUCCCACAAGCCUGCAUCUGCCCUGAAGACCAUUCCACUCGUCUGGCCCUUUGCUGUUUGGGGGUUGGAUAUGGUUCGACCCCUGAGGACUGGUAGGAGCGGCUUCACUCAUGUGCUUGUAACAGCCGACAAGUUUACCAAAUGGAUUGAAGCCAAGCCUAUCAAGAAUCUUGAAGCCAGUACUGCCGCCAGCUUCAUCAGAGAAUUGACAUUCAGAUAUGGAGUUCCGCACAGCAUCAUCACUGACAACGGGUCAAACUUCGAUUCUGAUGAGUUCAGAGCCUUCUGUGCUUCCCAAGGCACACGAGUCGACUACGCUUCAGUCGCCCACCCCUAG
RNAcentral lists this ribosomal RNA (1191 nucleotides) under Triticum aestivum (bread wheat). RNAcentral's name for it is "partial small subunit ribosomal RNA". Lineage: Eukaryota; Viridiplantae; Streptophyta; Magnoliopsida; Poales; Poaceae. The record is from RNAcentral.